This 496-nucleotide ribosomal RNA is filed under the name uncultured bacterium. Its description in RNAcentral is "partial 16S ribosomal RNA". It matches the Rfam family "Bacterial small subunit ribosomal RNA", at positions 29 to 507 of the family's 1533-position model. The record is from RNAcentral.
AUGAACGCUGGCGGCGUGCCUAAUACAUGCAAGUCGAGCGAACGGAUGAGAAGCUUGCUUCUCUGAUGUUAGCGGCGGACGGGUGAGUAACACGUGGAUAACCUACCUAUAAGACUGGGAUAACUUCGGGAAACCGGAGCUAAUACCGGAUAAUAUUUUGAACCGCAUGGUUCAAAAGUGAAAGACGGUCUUGCUGUCACUUAUAGAUGGAUCCGCGCUGCAUUAGCUAGUUGGUAAGGUAACGGCUUACCAAGGCAACGAUGCAUAGCCGACCUGAGAGGGUGAUCGGCCACACUGGAACUGAGACACGGUCCAGACUCCUACGGGAGGCAGCAGUAGGGAAUCUUCCGCAAAGGGCGAAAGCCUGACGGAGCAACGCCGCGUGAGUGAUGAAGGUCUUCGGAUCGUAAAACUCUGUUAUUAGGGAAGAACAUAUGUGUAAGUAACUGUGCACAUCUUGACGGUACCUAAUCAGAAAGCCACGGCUAACUACGUG